UACGUAGGGUGCAAGCAUUAAUCGGAUUUAUUGGGCGUGAAGGGGGCGCAGGCGGCAAAGUAAGUCGGAUGUGAAAUCUCGGGGCUCAACCCCGAACACGCAUUCGAAACUACUUUACUAGAGGAUAGGCGGAGAAAACGGAAUUCCACAUGUAGCGGUGAAAUGCGUAGAUAUGUGGAAGAACACCUGUGGCGAAAGCGGUUUUCUAGCUUAUUCCUGACGCUCAUGCCCGAAAGCUAGGGGAGCAAACAGG
Molecule: ribosomal RNA, 253 nt
Filed under: uncultured bacterium
Lineage: Bacteria
Description: partial 16S ribosomal RNA
Rfam family: Bacterial small subunit ribosomal RNA
Source: RNAcentral